RNAcentral lists this ribosomal RNA (433 nucleotides) under uncultured bacterium. RNAcentral describes it as "partial 16S ribosomal RNA". It matches the Rfam family "Bacterial small subunit ribosomal RNA", at positions 29 to 507 of the family's 1533-position model. The record is from RNAcentral.
AGCGAACGCUGGCGGCAGGCCUAACACAUGCAAGUCGAACGAACUCUUCGGAGUUAGUGGCGGACGGGUGAGUAACACGUGGGAACGUGCCUUUUGGUUCGGAAUAACUCAGGGAAACUUGUGCUAAUACCGAAUGUGCUCUUCGGGGGAAAGAUUUAUCGCCAUUAGAGCGGCCCGCGUCUGAUUAGCUAGUUGGUGAGGUAACGGCUCACCAAGGCGACGAUCAGUAGCUGGUCUGAGAGGAUGACCAGCCACACUGGGACUGAGACACGGCCCAGACUCCUACGGGAGGCAGCAGUGGGGAAUCUUGCGCAAUGGGCGAAAGCCUGAAGCAGCCAUGCCGCGUGAAUGAUGAAGGUCUUAGGAUUGUAAAAUUCUUUCACCGGGGACGAUAAUGACGGUACCCGGAGAAGAAGCCCCGGCUAACUUCGUG